RNAcentral lists this ribosomal RNA (429 nucleotides) under Verrucomicrobiota bacterium. RNAcentral's name for it is "Verrucomicrobia bacterium partial 16S ribosomal RNA". It matches the Rfam family "Bacterial small subunit ribosomal RNA", at positions 355 to 776 of the family's 1533-position model. The record is from RNAcentral. Lineage: Bacteria; Pseudomonadati; Verrucomicrobiota.
UGGGGAAUCUUCCGCAAUGGGCGAAAGCCUGACGGAGCAACGCCGCGUGAGUUAAGACGGCCUUCGGGUUGUAAAGCUCUGUUAUUCGGGAAGAAAGAGUCGCUUGUGAACAAUGAGCGAAAGUGACGGUACCGAAAGAGAAAGCCACGGCUAACUACGUGCCAGCAGCCGCGGUAAUACGUAGGUGGCAAGCGUUGUCCGGAAUUAUUGGGCGUAAAGAGCGCGUAGGCGGUAGUGCAAGUCAAUCUUAAACGUGCGGGGCUUAACCCCGUGAUGGGAUGGAAACUGUGCGACUGGAGUAUCGGAGAGGAAAGUAGAAUUCCUAGUGUAGCGGUGGAAUGCGUAGAGAUUAGGAAGAAUACCGGUGGCGAAGGCGACUUACUGGACGAAAACUGACGCUGAGGCGCGAAAGCGUGGGGAGCAAACAGG